AAAAAGAUAAGCUAAAAAAGCUCAUGGGUUCAUACCCCGUAUAUGAAGGUUUAAAUCCUUUUCUUUUUA
This 69-nucleotide transfer RNA is filed under the name Protohermes latus. RNAcentral's name for it is "tRNA-Met". It matches the Rfam family "tRNA". From Rfam's summary of the family: Transfer RNA (tRNA) molecules are approximately 80 nucleotides in length. Their secondary structure includes four short double-helical elements and three loops (D, anti-codon, and T loops). The record is from RNAcentral. Lineage: Eukaryota; Metazoa; Arthropoda; Insecta; Megaloptera; Corydalidae.